CACCGUGGCUGAAUAGAAAUUACCAGCUGAAAUACAGAGGAAAAAACAUCACAAAUGAAGGAGAACUUCACUUUAGAUUUGUGUUUUUGAUUAUUUAUUUCUUUUCAAAUGAUGUUUCAUUCAUGUAGAGUUUUUUUCUCAGUUUCCAAAAUAUGCAUAGGGCUGUUGCAUUUCGUGAUGAACUUUCAUUUGCACGCAAUGGAUUGUAUAUGUUGAAUCAUGAAGUCCCUUGAGACAUUUAGAAAGAUCAAAAAUUGAAUUUGAGGGGCCUGGGUAGCUCAGUGGUAAAAGACGUUGGCUACCACACCUGGAGUCGUGAGUUUGAAUCCAGGGUGUGCUGAGUGACUCCAGCCAGGUCUCCUAAGCAACCAAAUUGGCCUGGUUGCUAGGGAGGGUAGAGUCACAUGGGGUAACCUCCUCGUAGUCGCUAUAAUGUAGUUCGUUCUCAGUGGGGCGCGUGGUGAGUUAAGCGUGGAUGCCGCGGUGGAUGGCGUGAAGCCUCCACAUGCGCUAUGUCUCCGUUGCAACGCGCUCAACAAGCCACGUGAUAAGAUGCAUGGGUUGACGGUCUCAGACGCGGAGGCAACUGGGAUUCAUCCUCCACCACCCGGACUGAGGUGAGUCACUACGCGACCACGAGGACUUAAAAGCGCAUUGGGAAUUGGGCAUGCCGAAUUGGGGAGAAAAAGCGGAAAAUGAAUUUGAAGCUUUGAGGAAAGUUAGAAAGGUUGUUGGUUUAGGGGGUCUGGGUAUCUCAGCGAGUAUUGAUGCUGACUAUCACCCCUGGAAUCACGAGAUUGAAUCCAGGGCGUGCUGAGUGACUCCAGCCAGGUCUCCUAAGCAACCAAAUUGGCCCGGUUGCUAGGGAGGGUAGAGUCACAUGGGGUAACCUCCUCGUGGUCGUGAUUAGUGGUUCUCGCUCUCAAUGGGGCGUGUGGUGAGUUGUGUGUGGAUCGUGGAGAGUAGCAUGAGCCUCCACAUGCUGUGAGUCUCCGCGGUGUCAUGCACAACGAGUCACGUGAUAAGAUGCGCGGAUUGACAGUCUCAGAAGCGGAGGCAACUGAGACUUGUCCUCCGCCACCCGGAUUGAGGUGAGUAACUGCGCCACCACAAGGACCUACUAAGUAGUGGGAAUUGGGCAUUCCAAAUUGGGGAUAAAAGUGGAUAAAAAAUUAAAAAAUACUACACAUGUAUAAUUCCACAUCCUGGCAAAAUCUCACCUAGAGUAAGUCAGCAUAUCUAAUAGCAACCUUCUACAACCUUUACAAUAUGAAUAUAAUAGCUUGGACACCGGCGCUUUAGCGCAGUUUGUGGAAUUUUUAGACGGUCCCUUACACACUGUAUAUGAACAUCAUACCUAAAACUUCUUUUCCCGCUUUCUAUUUUUGCUCUCUGUGAUAUAAAGUGUCCCAUUACUGUUUUACUGAGUGGCAAACCACUCACAAUGUUCAGUAAUUGAGCAUUUGGAAUUAAUUUUGAAAUUAUCUCGUAAGUGGGCGGAGAACCAAUCCUGAGGAAAGGACUCGGUCUCAUUCACACAGCCAGUCAGCCACCGUAGUUUUCAGCAGGGGGCAGUAAGCAAAACUUCAGCUGUGCAGACAACAACACCUCACUCAAGCUUACUCGACACUAGUGACAGCACAAGAUGAGGACACGUUCUUGCAUUCAAACACAGCUGAAAGGAGCGCAACUCCGAAUGCAGGGAUCUCGAGACGUUUCAAACUACGUUAAACUUGACACAGCAACUACAAAAAUGUGUUUAUGAAAAGAUGCAAUCACAAUGAGACGCUCCAAAAACAUCCGUCUGACGCAUGUGUAUACUGACGAGUUCUUACAAAAGCCCUUAUAAUAAAUCUAUCUUGAACAGAUUGACGAAUUAAAUUGCAAAAUGGAUUGCUGUGCACUGCAAGCCAAUGAUAGGCUAUUAGGCUUAUGUUCAA
Myxocyprinus asiaticus (Chinese sucker) is the source of this 1940-nucleotide long non-coding RNA. RefSeq lists it as uncharacterized. Lineage: Eukaryota; Metazoa; Chordata; Actinopteri; Cypriniformes; Catostomidae. The transcript is spliced from 3 exons. The record is from RefSeq and is a predicted model, not a curated record.